This 18-nucleotide microRNA is filed under the name Macrophomina phaseolina MS6. Its description in RNAcentral is "miR1151a*". The record is from RNAcentral. Lineage: Eukaryota; Fungi; Ascomycota; Dothideomycetes; Botryosphaeriales; Botryosphaeriaceae.
ACGGGGUGUGGGAUGCGG